This 89-nucleotide non-coding RNA is filed under the name Pseudomonas sp. SJZ077. RNAcentral also lists the same sequence under 1 other name. Lineage: Bacteria; Pseudomonadati; Pseudomonadota; Gammaproteobacteria; Pseudomonadales; Pseudomonadaceae. The record is from RNAcentral.
CAUAAUGGUGGCUGUGCGUGGGAGACCUUCGAGGUCUACCCGGGGUUUCUGUGACCCGGAUCGCUAACCUGCGUACAGCCGCCACCUUU